GUGGGGAAUUUUGGACAAUGGGCGCAAGCCUGAUCCAGCAAUGCCGCGUGCAGGAAGAAGGCCUUCGGGUUGUAAACUGCUUUUGUACGGAACGAAACGGUCCUGGUUAAUACCUGGGGCUAAUGACGGUACCGUAAGAAUAAGCACCGGCUAACUACGUGCCAGCAGCCGCGGUAAUACGUAGGGUGCAAGCGUUAAUCGGAAUUACUGGGCGUAAAGCGUGCGCAGGCGGUUUUGUAAGACAGGCGUGAAAUCCCCGGGCUCAACCUGGGAAUUGCGCUUGUGACUGCAAGGCUGGAGUGCGGCAGAGGGGGAUGGAAUUCCGCGUGUAGCAGUGAAAUGCGUAGAUAUGCGGAGGAACACCGAUGGCGAAGGCAAUCCCCUGGGCCUGCACUGACGCUCAUGCACGAAAGCGUGGGGAGCAAACAGGAUUAGAAACCCCUGUAGUCC
This 450-nucleotide ribosomal RNA is filed under the name uncultured bacterium. RNAcentral describes it as "partial 16S ribosomal RNA". It matches the Rfam family "Bacterial small subunit ribosomal RNA", at positions 354 to 796 of the family's 1533-position model. The record is from RNAcentral.